Molecule: ribosomal RNA, 586 nt
Filed under: Naganishia albida
Lineage: Eukaryota; Fungi; Basidiomycota; Tremellomycetes; Filobasidiales; Filobasidiaceae
Description: eukaryotic LSU rRNA
Rfam family: Eukaryotic large subunit ribosomal RNA
Source: RNAcentral
AAGCGGAGGAAAAGAAACUAACAAGGAUUCCCCUAGUAACGGCGAGUGAAGCGGGAAGAGCUCAAAUUUGAAAUCUGGUAGCCUUCGGUUGCCCGAGUUGUAAUCUAGAGAAGUGUUUUCCGUGCCGGCCCAUGUACAAGUCCCUUGGAACAGGGCGUCAUAGAGGGUGAGAAUCCCGUCCUUGACAUGGACCCCCGGUGCUUUGUGAUACACUUUCAACGAGUCGAGUUGUUUGGGAAUGCAGCUCAAAAUGGGUGGUGAAUUCCAUCUAAAGCUAAAUAUUGGCGAGAGACCGAUAGCGAACAAGUACCGUGAGGGAAAGAUGAAAAGCACUUUGGAAAGAGAGUUAAACAGUACGUGAAAUUGUUGAAAGGGAAACGAUUGAAGUCAGUCAUGCUCUUGGGACUUACCUCCCUUGAGUGGGGUCAACAUCAGUUUUGAUCGAUGGAUAAAGGCACGGGGAAGGUAGCACUCUCGGGUGAACUUAUAGCCUCGCGUCAUAUACAUUGAUUGGGACUGAGGAACGCAGCAUGCCUUAUGGCCGGGAUUCGUCCACGUACAUGCUUAGGAUGUUGACAUAAUGGCU